CAAAUGUUUAUAAUUUUGAUGAAGUCUAAAGUAUGUGUUUUUUUAUUUAGUAGUUUGCAGUACAGGUAUCAUAUCUAAAAAAACAAACCCAUGGGUUGGGGAGUGGGAAAGGAAGAUGGUGAAACAGAGGAAAGAAGCACUUCACAGCAACUCCCUCACAAAGUGAGAAGACAGCUUCUCAGCAAGGGAUAG
Molecule: long non-coding RNA, 192 nt
Filed under: Ictidomys tridecemlineatus (thirteen-lined ground squirrel)
Lineage: Eukaryota; Metazoa; Chordata; Mammalia; Rodentia; Sciuridae
Description: lncRNA (ENSSTOG00000033519.1)
Source: RNAcentral